UGCACAUGAUGUUUCUCACGAUGGUCUUCAUAUUCCCUUAUAUCAGGGAUGCUGACAAUGCUUCAAAGCACUUCACUGAUGCAAUCUU
Non-coding RNA from Strongylocentrotus purpuratus (purple sea urchin), 88 nucleotides. NCBI's taxonomy places the organism in Eukaryota, Metazoa, Echinodermata, Echinoidea, Camarodonta, Strongylocentrotidae. The record is from Rfam.